GCUUCUGUAGCUCAGUCGGUGGUAGCAUCCCUCUCAUAUUAUGACACAGGGGAAGGUCGUGAGUUCGAGCCUCACCAGGAGCA
RNAcentral lists this transfer RNA (83 nucleotides) under Schizosaccharomyces pombe (fission yeast). It matches the Rfam family "tRNA". From Rfam's summary of the family: Transfer RNA (tRNA) molecules are approximately 80 nucleotides in length. Their secondary structure includes four short double-helical elements and three loops (D, anti-codon, and T loops). Lineage: Eukaryota; Fungi; Ascomycota; Schizosaccharomycetes; Schizosaccharomycetales; Schizosaccharomycetaceae. The record is from Rfam by way of RNAcentral.